RNAcentral lists this ribosomal RNA (32 nucleotides) under Fonsecaea pedrosoi. RNAcentral describes it as "partial 18S ribosomal RNA". The record is from RNAcentral. Lineage: Eukaryota; Fungi; Ascomycota; Eurotiomycetes; Chaetothyriales; Herpotrichiellaceae. RNAcentral also lists the same sequence under 2 other names.
UCCGUAGGUGAACCUGCGGAAGGAUCAUUAAU